CCUACGGGGGGCAGCAGUGGGGAAUAUUGGGCAAUGGGCGCAAGCCUGACCCAGCAACGCCGCGUGAAGGAAGAAGGCUUUCGGGUUGUAAACUUCUUUUAUCAGGGACGAAGCAAGUGACGGUACCUGAUGAAUAAGCCACGGCUAACUACGUGCCAGCAGCCGCGGUAAUACGUAGGUGGCAAGCGUUAUCCGGAUUUACUGGGUGUAAAGGGCGUGUAGGCGGGAGUGCAAGUCAGAUGUGAAAACUAUGGGCUCAACCCAUAGCCUGCAUUUGAAACUGUACUUCUUGAGUGCAGGAGGGGCAACCGGAAUUCCUAGUGUAGCGGUGGAAUGCGUAGAUAUUAGGAGGAACACCAGUGGCGAAGGCGGGUUGCUAGACUGUAACUGACACUGAGGCACGAAAGCGUGGGGAGCAAACAGGAUUAGAUACCCCAGUAGUC
Molecule: ribosomal RNA, 443 nt
Filed under: uncultured bacterium
Lineage: Bacteria
Description: partial 16S ribosomal RNA
Rfam family: Bacterial small subunit ribosomal RNA
Source: RNAcentral